GGGACUGUGGCUCAGUGGCAGAGUUCCUGCCUAGCAUGCAUGAAGCCCUGGGUUUGAUUCCUCAGUACCA
Molecule: transfer RNA, 70 nt
Filed under: Dipodomys ordii (Ord's kangaroo rat)
Lineage: Eukaryota; Metazoa; Chordata; Mammalia; Rodentia; Heteromyidae
Rfam family: tRNA
About the family: Transfer RNA (tRNA) molecules are approximately 80 nucleotides in length. Their secondary structure includes four short double-helical elements and three loops (D, anti-codon, and T loops).
Source: Rfam by way of RNAcentral